Molecule: ribosomal RNA, 180 nt
Filed under: uncultured Glomeromycotina
Lineage: Eukaryota; Fungi; Glomeromycota
Description: partial small subunit ribosomal RNA
Source: RNAcentral
GAUUUCGUCUUGGUGGUCUGCCGAAAGGUAUGCACUGCUAAGGUGGGGUCUUUUCCUUCUGGGGAGCCGUCAUGCACUUUACUGGGUGUGGCGGGGACCCAGGACUUUUACUGUGAAAAAAUUAGAGUGUUUAAAGCAGGCAAGCGCUUGAAUACAUUAGCAUGGAAUAAUGAAAUAGGA